AUGGGGAAUCUUCCGCAAUGGACGAAAGUCUGACGGAGCAACGCCGCGUGAGAGAUGAAGGUCUUCGGAUUGUAAAGCUCUGUUAAUCGGGACGAAAGAGCCUAGUGUGAAUAAUGCUAGGAAGUGACGGUACCGGAAUAGAAAGCCACGGCUAACUACGUGCCAGCAGCCGCGGUAAUACGUAGGUGGCAAGCGUUUUCCGGAAUUAUUGGGCGUAAAGCGCGCGCAGGCGGAUCUGCCAGUCUGUCUUAAAAGUUCGGGGCUUAACCCCGUGAUGGGAUGGAAACUACAGAUCUAGAGUAUCGGAGAGGAAAGUGGAAUUCCUAGUGUAGCGGUGAAAUGCGUAGAUAUUAGGAAGAACACCAGUGGCGAAGGCGACUUUCUGGACGAAAACUGACGCUGAGGCGCGAAAGCCAGGGGAGCGAACGGGAUUAGAUACCCGUGUAGUCC
This 450-nucleotide ribosomal RNA is filed under the name uncultured bacterium. RNAcentral's name for it is "partial 16S ribosomal RNA". It matches the Rfam family "Bacterial small subunit ribosomal RNA", at positions 354 to 796 of the family's 1533-position model. The record is from RNAcentral.